CUUAAUUUUUCCUUCUUUUGUUAUCACAGUAGUAUCAAGAAGACAGUGGCUUUAUUUGACCUCUCCCCCAAGGGAGUAGUAACUAUAAUGGGUUUAAUUAACUAUGUGGUAUUGACGUAAUUAGUUAUCAUGGUGAUUAUACUUCUUUAAUAAAAGCACUUCAUUUGGGAUGCAUCAGGGUUCCGGCAGCGGCCAAGCCCUUCACCUAUAUUUCAUAACUGUCUAGACACUGGAACCGUGUGCAUAUUUUACUAGCAGCCCUUGAGAGAGGUUAUCUUGCAUGGCUUAAGCGCUGAGCAGCGUCCCCUCUGUGCCUCUCCCUGCCUGGAGAUACAUACUGAAAUCACUGCAGGCAGUUUGACUGCUUCAUGUAGCCCGGGAAGUUUUGCUGUGGGUCUUCUCAGAGCCAAAACCAGAAAGAUGCACUUCUAAAAAAUAACCCAACGGAUCUGAAAGAAGCGUUUCUGCGGAGAUACUAAAAUGGAGACACAGAAAAAGUAUGUGAUCUGUAGCAGCACUCCAGCAACUCAGCAAGGAACGGCAGACUAAAGAUCAAGAAAAGAAAUAACCCAAUUCCUGCGUGAUUCUCCUGUGCUGAGGAUCAGAGCAUUGCAGGACUGAACGAUUCUGAGAAG
RNAcentral lists this long non-coding RNA (635 nucleotides) under Mus musculus (house mouse). Its description in RNAcentral is "predicted gene, 47760". Lineage: Eukaryota; Metazoa; Chordata; Mammalia; Rodentia; Muridae. The record is from RNAcentral.